Molecule: long non-coding RNA, 587 nt
Filed under: Ananas comosus (pineapple)
Lineage: Eukaryota; Viridiplantae; Streptophyta; Magnoliopsida; Poales; Bromeliaceae
Description: long non-coding RNA (ACOM_LNC013946)
Source: RNAcentral
UAUAUAUAUAUAUAUAUAUAUAUAUAUAUAUAUAGUUGAGCUAGAAUACUAUCGGUAGCAAACGGACUCCGUUGCCACCCAUUUGUUUUUAAUGAUGGGGCCUCCAAAUCGACGAUCGGCACCGUUAAAUAUGAUCUAUACCACUUGAAGUAUCUAGAAAUCAAAUUUUAUGCUUUUCCGAUAUUGUUCUCUUGUCCAUCAAGUGGGCGUAAAAAUGAACGACUAAAAAUGAAUAUUCUCUAAAAAAUGAUGAUAGAAAUUUUAUAAUCAUAAUCGAGAGUAUAGAUCUUGUUCUAAAUAGUUUAAAGAAUUUUCUAACUAAAAUUCAAUUGAUUUGAAUAGCUUUACACCGUUAAACGUGAAACACCUCAUAUCUACCACUAAAAUUACAAAGUUUGAAAUCUUUUGAUCAUUAGGUCAAUGAUAUCGAAAAGAUUUGAAAUUUGAUUUCUAGAUAGUUCAAGUGGUAUAGAUUAUGUUCAACGCUACCGAUUGUCGAUUUGGAGGUUCUAUCAUCGAAAACAAAUGGAUGACAACAGAGCCCGUUUGCUACUAAUAGUAUACUAGCUCAACUAUAUAUAUAUAUA